GGUGCCGGUGGGCCAGGCUGAGGCCGCGCGGGCCAUCGGCCUGAGCUUCUCCCAGGUGCUGUUCCUGGUGGUGCUGCC
RNAcentral lists this transfer RNA (78 nucleotides) under Streptomyces olivaceoviridis. Its description in RNAcentral is "tRNA-Asp". Lineage: Bacteria; Bacillati; Actinomycetota; Actinomycetes; Kitasatosporales; Streptomycetaceae. The record is from RNAcentral.